This 419-nucleotide ribosomal RNA is filed under the name uncultured bacterium. RNAcentral describes it as "bacterial SSU rRNA". It matches the Rfam family "Bacterial small subunit ribosomal RNA", at positions 358 to 774 of the family's 1533-position model. The record is from RNAcentral.
GGAAUAUUGGUCAAUGGGCGGAAGCCUGAACCAGCCAUGCCGCGUGAUGGAAGGAGGCCCUAUGGGUCGUAAACAUCUUUUGUGCGGGAGCAAUAAGGGUCACGUGUGAUCCGAUGAGAGUACCGUACGAAUAAGCAUCGGCUAACUCCGUGCCAGCAGCCGCGGUAAUACGGAGGAUGCAAGCGUUAUCCGGAUUUAUUGGGUUUAAAGGGUGCGUAGGCUGUUUUCCAAGUCAGCGGUGAAAUGCCGGGGCUCAACCCCGGAACUGCCAUUGAUACUGGGAGGCUUGAAUGCGGAUGCCGUGGGAGGAAUGAGUAGUGUAGCGGUGAAAUGCAUAGAUAUUACUCAGAACACCGAUUGCGAAGGCAUCUCACGAAUCCGCUAUUGACGCUGAGGCACGAAAGCGUGGGGAUCAAACA